UACAGAGGCCCCAAGCGUUACUGAGAAUCACUGGGUUUAAAGGGUGCGUAGGUGGCGCGUUAAGUCCGUUGUGAAAUCCCUUGGCUCAACCAAGGAAAUGCUUCGGAUACUGGCGUGCUUGAGGCCGGUAAGGGUCACUGGAACUGACGGUGGAGCGGUGAAAUGCGUAGAUAUCGUCAGGAACGCCAAUGGUGAAGACAGGUGACUGGGCCGGUACUGACACUGAGGCACGAAAGCGUGGGGAGCGAACGGG
Molecule: ribosomal RNA, 253 nt
Filed under: uncultured bacterium
Lineage: Bacteria
Description: partial 16S ribosomal RNA
Rfam family: Bacterial small subunit ribosomal RNA
Source: RNAcentral